Molecule: transfer-messenger RNA, 217 nt
Filed under: Candidatus Thiodiazotropha sp. (ex Semelilucina semeliformis)
Lineage: Bacteria; Pseudomonadati; Pseudomonadota; Gammaproteobacteria; Chromatiales; Sedimenticolaceae
Description: partial transfer-messenger RNA
Rfam family: transfer-messenger RNA
About the family: Bacterial tmRNA, also known as 10Sa RNA or SsrA, is named for its dual tRNA and mRNA-like properties. Its role is to liberate the mRNA from a stalled ribosome.
Source: RNAcentral
UGGAGCCGUGCCUGUGCGUCCAGCUCUCAGGCGUCAUAUCUCACGGGAUCGCAUUGAAGCUCGUCCGGGGCGGAUAUGUUAAAACCUUACCGGAAUCGCUUGCUACAUACCCUGUCCGUCGGGUGGUAGCCGGCUAAAAAUAAUAGGCAGGACUAAGCAUGUAGAACUUUUGGCAGAGGACUCGCGGACGGCGGUUCGAAUCCGCCCGCCUCCACCA